RNAcentral lists this ribosomal RNA (255 nucleotides) under uncultured bacterium. RNAcentral's name for it is "partial 16S ribosomal RNA". It matches the Rfam family "Bacterial small subunit ribosomal RNA", at positions 524 to 776 of the family's 1533-position model. The record is from RNAcentral.
UACGGGGGGAGCAAGCGUUGUUCGGAUUUACUGGGCGUAAAGGGCGCGUAGGCGGCCAUCGCAAGUCAAUUGUGAAAUCUCCGGGCUUAACUCGGAAAGGUCAGCCGAUACUGCGGGGCUAGAGUGCAGAAGGGGCAACUGGAAUUCUCGGUGUAGCGGUGAAAUGCGUAGAUAUCGAGAGGAACACCUGCGGCGAAGGCGGGUUGCUGGGCUGACACUGACGCUGAUUGUGCGAAAGCUAGGGGAGCGAACGGG